RNAcentral lists this ribosomal RNA (497 nucleotides) under uncultured bacterium. RNAcentral's name for it is "partial 16S ribosomal RNA". It matches the Rfam family "Bacterial small subunit ribosomal RNA", at positions 28 to 507 of the family's 1533-position model. The record is from RNAcentral.
GAUGAACGCUGGCGGCGUGCCUAAUACAUGCCAGUCGAGCGAACAGACGAGGAGCGUGCUCCUCUGACGUUAGCGGCGGACGGGUGAGUAACACGUGGAUAACCUACCUAUAAGACUGGGAUAACUUCGGGAAACCGGAGCUAAUACCGGAUAAUAUAUUGAACCGCAGGGUUCAAUAGUGAAAGACGGUUUUGCUGUCACGUAUAGAUGGAUCCGCGCCGCAUUAGCUAGUUGGUAAGGUAACGGCUUACCAAGGCAACGAUGCGUAGCCGACCUGAGAGGGUGACCGGCCACACUGGAACUGAGACACGGCCCAGACUCCUACGGGAGGCAGCAGUAGGGAAUCUUCCACAAUGGGCGCAAGCCUGACGGAGCAACGCCGCGUGCGUGAUGAAGGUCUUCGGAUCGUAAAACUCUGUUAUUAGGGAAGAACAAAUGUGUAAGUAACUAUGCACGUCUUGACGGUACCUAAUCAGAAAGCAACGGCUAACUACGUG